Molecule: ribosomal RNA, 866 nt
Filed under: uncultured bacterium
Lineage: Bacteria
Description: bacterial SSU rRNA
Rfam family: Bacterial small subunit ribosomal RNA
Source: RNAcentral
UGCAGUCGCGAGAAAGUGGAGCAAUCCAUGAGUAAAGUGGCGACCGGGUGAGUAACACGUGACUAACCUACCCUACAGUGGGGGAUAACCUCGGGAAACCGGGGCUAAUACCGCAUAACAUCACAGAGUGAAAUUCUUUGUGAUCAAAGGAGCAAUUCGCUGAAGGAGGGGGUCGCGGCUGAUUAGCUAGUUGGUGAGGUAACGGCCCACCAAGGCUUUGAUCAGUAGCCGGCCUGAGAGGGCGCACGGCCACACUGGAACUGAAACACGGUCCAGACUCCUACGGGAGGCAGCAGUGGGGAAUUUUGCGCAAUGGGGGAAACCCUGACGCACAACGCCGCGUGGAGGAUGAAGUCCCUUGGGAUGUAAACUCCUUUCGAUCGGGACGAUUAUGACGGUACCGGAAGAAGAAGCACCGGCUAACUCUGUGCCAGCAGCCGCGGUAAUACAGAGGGUGCAAGCGUUGUUCGGAAUUAUUGGGCGUAAAGGGUGCGUAGGCGGUGCGGUAAGUUUGUGGUGAAAUCUUCAGGCUCAACUUGAAGACUGCCGCGAAGACUGCCGUGCUGGAGUAUGGGAGAGGUGAGUGGAAUUCCUGGUGUACGGUGAAAUGCGUAGAUAUCAGAGGAACACCUGUGGCGAAAGCAGCUCACUGGACCAUAACUGACGCUGAUGCACGAAAGCUAGGGGAGCAAACAGGAUUAGAUACCCUGGUAGUCCUAGCCCUAAACGAUGAUUGCUAGGUGUGUCGGGUACCCAAUCCCAACGUGCCGAACUAACGCGAUAAGCAAUCCGCCUGGGGAGUACGGUCGCAAGAUGAAACUCAAGGAAUUGAGGGGGCCCGCACAACGGUGGACAUGUGGUCAAUU